GAUCGAUAGCUCCGUUGGCGGAGCAGAGGACUGUAGAGGUAUAGCAGUGAUCCUUAGGUCGCUGGUUCAAACCCGGCUCGAGGGACU
Molecule: transfer RNA, 87 nt
Filed under: Cordylochernes scorpioides
Lineage: Eukaryota; Metazoa; Arthropoda; Arachnida; Pseudoscorpiones; Chernetidae
Description: tRNA-Tyr
Rfam family: tRNA
About the family: Transfer RNA (tRNA) molecules are approximately 80 nucleotides in length. Their secondary structure includes four short double-helical elements and three loops (D, anti-codon, and T loops). Further hydrogen bonds mediate the characteristic L-shaped molecular structure. tRNAs have two regions of fundamental functional importance: the anti-codon, which is responsible for specific mRNA codon recognition, and the 3' end, to which the tRNAs corresponding amino acid is attached (by aminoacyl-tRNA synthetases). tRNAs cope with the degeneracy of the genetic code in two manners: having more than one tRNA (with a specific anti-codon) for a particular amino acid; and 'wobble' base-pairing, i.e. permitting non-standard base-pairing at the 3rd anti-codon position.
Source: RNAcentral